This 191-nucleotide unclassified non-coding RNA is filed under the name soil metagenome. RNAcentral describes it as "partial contains 5.8S ribosomal RNA, internal transcribed spacer 2, and large subunit ribosomal RNA". The record is from RNAcentral.
AAGACUAUAGACCUGCGGAGUACCUGCGGAGGGAUCAUCAUUGAAUUCAUUUCUACCAACCCUGUGAACAACUGUGCGCGGGGUAGACACUCUGUCAGCCCCAUUUAUGCGCGCUGUUAAUACAAACUCAAAACAAACUGAAGCAAUUACUAUAUAUUUGUAACCAAAACAACUUUUAACAAUGGAUCUCU